Molecule: long non-coding RNA, 370 nt
Organism: Syngnathoides biaculeatus (alligator pipefish)
Lineage: Eukaryota; Metazoa; Chordata; Actinopteri; Syngnathiformes; Syngnathidae
Exons: 3
Source: RefSeq, a predicted model, not a curated record
GUUGAGCUUUAUGUCCCGUUCCAGCACUCUCGUAUUCCUGACUGAACUUGUGUGUACCGACCUUCGUCCGUUCUCCGACCCACCCGUUCCUGCAUUUGGGUCCUACCUCUCGUUCCGAUGGGACGUGACAGGGAUAGGCUCCAGCACUCCAGUGACCCUUGUGAGAAGAAGCAUCUGAGAAAAUGGAUGGAUGGAAUGGAAAAAAUCCGCAAAUCGGGCCAUCCACAGGUGCCAAACCACAACUAUGCAGGUCCACUGGAGGUUAAUCUCAGUCGUCCUCCGGGGCCUACUUCAUCUUGGGGCCCGAGCUGUAGUAUAAAAGUAGCUGUUGCUGCUCCAAGGGGGUCACCAGCAGGGCGACUACAGGCAA